This 73-nucleotide transfer RNA is filed under the name bacterium. RNAcentral describes it as "tRNA-His". It matches the Rfam family "tRNA". From Rfam's summary of the family: Transfer RNA (tRNA) molecules are approximately 80 nucleotides in length. Their secondary structure includes four short double-helical elements and three loops (D, anti-codon, and T loops). Further hydrogen bonds mediate the characteristic L-shaped molecular structure. tRNAs have two regions of fundamental functional importance: the anti-codon, which is responsible for specific mRNA codon recognition, and the 3' end, to which the tRNAs corresponding amino acid is attached (by aminoacyl-tRNA synthetases). tRNAs cope with the degeneracy of the genetic code in two manners: having more than one tRNA (with a specific anti-codon) for a particular amino acid; and 'wobble' base-pairing, i.e. permitting non-standard base-pairing at the 3rd anti-codon position. The record is from RNAcentral.
GUGGGUGUAGCUCAGUUGGUAGAGCAGCAGAUUGUGGUUCUGCGGGUCGCGGGUUCAAGCCCCGUCACUCACC